AUGUUUAAAAACUGUUAUCAAGAUGCAUAAAUAACACUGUUACUUUGCUUAUAAAAAAAUCAAAUAAACUUGAAUAUUUUAAUUUGAUAAAUUAUGUGUUCAGUCAUUAAUCUAUAAGCGAAUAGAAUAAACAUUACAACAUGUGGUAGAAUUGACAAUGAGACAGCUACCCAAUAUAGAGUAAAUUAUGUUGACGGUAGUUGCAAUAAGUCACAUUACGGGCUUUUCCAAUAGUGAGAAAUACAAAUACCGUAUAUUAAGUAAGCUAAACAAAAUCCCAAAUUGACAAUAUGUCAACCAUUUCAAACUAUAGAACUUACACUGUUAGGUCCGAUAGGUAAAUAAAUUUUGACAAAAGUCCGACGAUGAUAUAAUAUGUUCUCAUUGUAGCUGUACCUGUGGAGAGUAAGUAUUGAAGAUAAAGCUUACGAUUUAUAUUUUUCUUCGAUGGCUCGGAUGUACAUUAUAUGCAUUAGUCAUCAAAAGAAGUACAUAUAAUGAUAAUACAAUAUUGUAUCACUGACAGCUUUACACGUUGUAUAACAUGUUUAUUUUCAAUUAAUGUGUUUCAUACUUAAAAUUUACAUGAAAAAGUACAAUACAUCUAUUUACUAACUGAUCGAUAAGGAUAUGCACAAAAUGGCAUUUUUCUGCGGCAGUAUCUUUUAAACUUGUUUUUGUAGAGAGAUAACGUAACUUACGUUUGCAAGUUUCUUCUUAUGAAGAACACUUUUUAUUUAGUUAAGUGGUAUGGUCGUUUCUGACAUAAAUCGGUUCCAUUUGAAAAUAUUGGUACUCUUACAGACCGGAUACAUACUCAUCAUAUACAGAUAAUUUCAAUAAAUAAAGUGACUAUAUAUAUUUAUCAAAAUACAGAGCUAGUAUGUACUGUUUGUUAAUAGAGAAUCAAUAGAACACUUUUACAAAGGGGAGAUGCAGUUCUUGUUGAAAUGUUAACACGACUUGUAUGACUGUUGUUCCUUAAACUGAACGUAAACAACAUCAAUUUACAUUAUCUAUUGCGUCAAAUCGUGCCUAAACACAAGUUCAAACAAAUGAACCAAUAACAGUCCUUAAGGAGUUGUUCAGUGUAUUAUAAAAUUGAGAAUGGAAAUGGGGAAUUUGUCAAAGAGACAACAACCCGACCAAAGAGCAGAAAACAGCCCAAGGCCACCAACACAGCGAUAAACUAGUUUGAUAUCUAAAAACUAAAAAUAUGGAAGUCAAUGUUGUGGACAACAAAACUGCAAACAUUUAAGCAAACCUCCACUUACAUCGUUGACGAACUAAGUGUUAAUUUUCAAUGCGUUUUAAGAAGGAUAAACAAGUUGCAUCCAGGGAGCAGAUAGCACAAAUUUAUAGCAUCACUUGUAAACAUGUAUGAUGUAUAAUUAGACGUUAAACAAAAACAAUCAUUGUAUUUAUUUCUUCAGAUGGAUGAAACUGAUAAGACAAUAGUGACAGCCAGUAAUAAACAUUGGCGAAACACAGAAAUGAUUGCAAAUACUUCCUUCCGAUGCAAAAACAAUAUUGAACAAUCUGAAUAUACUGUUUCCUUGUUGUAUUUGCAUGCACGUUUUAUGUUUAAAACAUAUAUGAUUCUGAUACAUCAAAAUAGAAACUUUACAAUUGUUUCCCUAAAAUCUAUUUUAACCACAAAAUAAUUAUGUCGUACGUGUUGCAUCACACGAAUCAUUCAUACUUUGAUAUUUUCUUAUGUCAGAUAAUUAUUUAAUGCUCUCUCGUGACUGAGUAUUAUAUCAAAUUCAUAAUAAUUAGCUACACUUCUUACCAAUCAAGUAUUAUAUAACUACAAUUUGUAUCCUAGUGUCCGUUACUCAUUCGAAUUUAUUUCACUUUUCUAUUUAUACUACAAAGAACGUUAUUAUAGAACUUAACGUAUUGAAAAGCAUUAUAAACUGUCUGAAUAGUCUUUAAGCAAUUGAUUCGAAACAAAUCAAAACUGUAGACUUUUUCUAGUAUUUCAAGUUAUUGUUCAAAUUGUUCACACUAUGUCUAUAACCCUACAAUGUAUUUCUUAAUGUGAAUUCGAUUAUCAUACAUACAUUUGAUUUAUACGUUGUUUCUGCCAUUAAACUAGUAAACAUGUAGAUUGAAAUUGUAUUAUAUUCAACGCGCGAGACUACUAUACAUAUUUCUGUAAUAUGUAUAUGAAUGUUAUUUUUCUUGUUUUAUAAAACGUUAUGAUUAUAUUUAAAUGUGUAGUCUUUGGAAAUCAUGAAAUAAAUUUGCAACUGG
This is a long non-coding RNA of Mytilus californianus (California mussel), 2259 nucleotides long. RefSeq lists it as uncharacterized. The transcript is spliced from 2 exons. NCBI's taxonomy places the organism in Eukaryota, Metazoa, Mollusca, Bivalvia, Mytilida, Mytilidae. The record is from RefSeq and is a predicted model, not a curated record.